CAGCAGCCGCGGGAAUACAGAGGGUGCGAGCGUUAAUCGGAUUUACUGGGCGUAAAGCGUGCGUAGGCGGCUUCUUAAGUCGGAUGUGAAAUCCCUGAGCUUAACUUAGGAAUUGCAUUCGAUACUGGGAAGCUAGAGUAUGGGAGAGGAUGGUAGAAUUCCAGGUGUAGCGGUGAAAUGCGUAGAGAUCUGGAGGAAUACCGAUGGCGAAGGCAGCCAUCUGGCCUAAUACUGACGCUGAGGUACGAAAGCAUGGGGAGCAAACAGGAUUAGAGACCCCGGUAGUCCCUGUCUCUUAUAC
RNAcentral lists this ribosomal RNA (301 nucleotides) under uncultured bacterium. RNAcentral describes it as "partial 16S ribosomal RNA". It matches the Rfam family "Bacterial small subunit ribosomal RNA", at positions 509 to 807 of the family's 1533-position model. The record is from RNAcentral.